GAUGAAGAACGUAGCGAAAUGCGAUACGUUGUGUGAAUUGCAGAAUUCGGUGAAUCAUCGAAUCUUUGAACGCACAUUGCGCCCUUUGGUAUUCCAAAGGGCAUGCCUGUUCGAGCGUCUUUUGUACCCUCAAGCUUUGCUUGGUGUUGGGCGUUUUUGUCUUUGGCCCGCCAAAGACUCGCCUUAAAAUGAUUGGCAGCCGGCCUACUGGUUUCGCAGCGCAGCACAUUUUUGCGCUUGCAAUCAGCAAAAGAGGACGGCAAUCCAUCAAGACUCCUUCUCACGUUUGACCUCGGAUCAGGUAGGGAUACCCGCUGAACUUAAGCAUAUCAAUAAGCGGAGGA
RNAcentral lists this unclassified non-coding RNA (344 nucleotides) under soil metagenome. Its description in RNAcentral is "partial contains 5.8S ribosomal RNA, internal transcribed spacer 2, and large subunit ribosomal RNA". The stretch from base 1 to 120 matches the Rfam family "5.8S ribosomal RNA", at positions 35 to 154 of the family's 154-position model. The record is from RNAcentral.